CCUACGGGAGGCAGCAGUUGGGCGAAAGCCUGAUCCAGCAAUGCCGCGUGAGUGAUGAAGGCCUUCGGGUCGUAAAGCUCUUUUACCAGGGAUGAUAAUGACAGUACCUGGAGAAUAAGCUCCGGCUAACUCCGUGCCAGCAGCCGCGGUAAUACGGAGGGAGCUAGCGUUGUUCGGAAUUACUGGGCGUAAAGAGUACGUAGGCGGCUAUUCAAGUCAGAGGUGAAAGCCCGGGGCUCAACCCCGGAACUGCCUUUGAAACUAGGUAGCUAGAAUCUUGGAGAGGUCAGUGGAAUUCCGAGUGUAGAGGUGAAAUUCGUAGAUAUUCGGAAGAACACCAGUGGCGAAGGCGACUGACUGGACAAGUAUUGACGCUGAGGUACGAAAGCGUGGGGAGCAAACAGGAUUAGAUACCCUGGUAGUCCACGCCGUAAACGAUGAUAACUAGUUGUUCGGUCACUUGGUGACUGAGUGACGCAGCUAACGCAUUAAGUUUCCGCCUGGGAGAACGUCAACAUUC
RNAcentral lists this ribosomal RNA (520 nucleotides) under uncultured Alphaproteobacteria bacterium. RNAcentral describes it as "bacterial SSU rRNA". It matches the Rfam family "Bacterial small subunit ribosomal RNA", at positions 338 to 893 of the family's 1533-position model. Lineage: Bacteria; Pseudomonadati; Pseudomonadota; Alphaproteobacteria. The record is from RNAcentral.